This 76-nucleotide transfer RNA is filed under the name Planctomycetota bacterium. RNAcentral's name for it is "tRNA-Ala". It matches the Rfam family "tRNA". Rfam says of the family: Transfer RNA (tRNA) molecules are approximately 80 nucleotides in length. Their secondary structure includes four short double-helical elements and three loops (D, anti-codon, and T loops). Lineage: Bacteria; Pseudomonadati; Planctomycetota. RNAcentral also lists the same sequence under 1 other name. The record is from RNAcentral.
GGGCCAAUAGCUCAGCUGGUAGAGCACCUGCAUGGCAUGCAGGGGGUCAGGGGUUCGAGUCCCCUUUGGUCCACCA